Molecule: ribosomal RNA, 356 nt
Filed under: uncultured prokaryote
Description: bacterial SSU rRNA
Rfam family: Bacterial small subunit ribosomal RNA
Source: RNAcentral
AGAACGAACGCUGGCGGCGUGCCUAACACAUGCAAGUCCAACGUGAAAGGGGAGCAAUCCCCCGGUAGGGUGGCAAACGGGUGAGUAAUACAUGGGUGAUCUACCUUAGGGAUGGGGAUAUCCUUCCGAAAGGAGGGGCAAUACCGAAUAUUGUCCGGGACCGUGAAGGGUUUACGGGGUAAAGGGAGGCCUCUGACACAAGCUUUCGUCCUUAAGUAUGAGCCCACUGGCCCACUCAGCUAGUUGGUAGGGUAAAGGACGUACCCAAGGACGACGAUCGGUAGGCUGGUCGUGAGAGGAUGAUCAGCCACACUGGGACGUGAGACACGGCCCGACGACUCCUACCGGAGGGCAGC